Molecule: ribosomal RNA, 301 nt
Filed under: uncultured bacterium
Lineage: Bacteria
Description: partial 16S ribosomal RNA
Rfam family: Bacterial small subunit ribosomal RNA
Source: RNAcentral
CAGUAGCCGCGGUAAUACGAAGGGGGCUAGCGUUGCUCGGAAUGACUGGGCGUAAAGGGCGCGUAGGCGGCGAUCAAAGUCAGGCGUGAAAUUCCUGGGCUCAACCUGGGGGCUGCGCUUGAUACUUGGUUGCUUGAGUGGGGAAGAGGGUCGUGGAAUUCCCAGUGUAGAGGUGAAAUUCGUAGAUAUUGGGAAGAACACCGGUGGCGAAAGCGGCUCACUGGACCAUUUCCGACGCUGAUGCACGAAAGCUAGGGGAGCAAACAGGAUUAGAUACCCCAGUAGUCCCUGUCUCUUAUAC